GCCUGAUCAGCCAUACCGCGUGGGUGAAGAAGGCCUUCGGGUUGUAAAGCCCUUUUGUUGGGAAAGAAAAGCAUUCGGUUAAUACCCGGGUGUUCUGACGGUACCCAAAGAAUAAGCACCGGCUAACUUCGUGCCAGCAGCCGCGGUAAUACGAAGGGUGCAAGCGUUACUCGGAAUUACUGGGCGUAAAGCGUGCGUAGGUGGUUGUUUAAGUCCGUUGUGAAAGCCCUGGGCUCAACCUGGGAAUUGCAGUGGAUACUGGGCAACUAGAGUGUGGUAGAGGAUAGUGGAAUUUCCGGUGUAGCAGUGAAAUGCGUAGAGAUCGGAAGGAACAUCUGUGGCGAAGGCGACUAUCUGGGCCAACACUGACACUGAGGCACGAAAGCGUGGGGAGCAAACAGGAUUAGAUACCCUGGUAGUCCACGCCCUAAACGAUGCGAACUGGAUGUUGGGUUCAACUUGGAACCCAGUAUCGAAGCUAACGCGUUAAGUUCGCCGCCUGGGGAGUACGGUCGCAAGACUGAAACUCAAAGGAAUUGACGGGGGCCCGCACAAGCGGUGGAGUAUGUGGUUUAAUUCGAUGCAACGCGAAGAACCUUACCUGGUCUUGACAUCCACGGAACUUUCUAGAGAU
Molecule: ribosomal RNA, 634 nt
Filed under: Pseudoxanthomonas sp. Ri2Pt_3909
Lineage: Bacteria; Pseudomonadati; Pseudomonadota; Gammaproteobacteria; Lysobacterales; Lysobacteraceae
Description: bacterial SSU rRNA
Rfam family: Bacterial small subunit ribosomal RNA
Source: RNAcentral